Molecule: ribosomal RNA, 253 nt
Filed under: uncultured bacterium
Lineage: Bacteria
Description: partial 16S ribosomal RNA
Rfam family: Bacterial small subunit ribosomal RNA
Source: RNAcentral
GACGUAGGGUGCGAGCGUUGUCCGGAUUUAUUGGGCGUAAAGAGCGUGUAGGCGGCCAGAUAGGUCUGCUGUGAAAACUCGAGGCUCAACCUCGAGAUGUCGGCAGAAACCAUUUGGCUAGAGUCCGGAAGAGGAGAGUGGAAUUCCUGGUGUAGCGGUGAAAUGCGCAGAUAUCAGGAAGAACACCCGUGGCGAAGGCGGCUCUCUGGGACGGUACUGACGCUGAGACGCGAAAGCGUGGGGAGCGAACAGG